GAAUCUGCCUAGUAGUGGGGGAUAGCCCGGGGAAACUCGGAUUAAUACCGCAUACGCCCUACGGGGGAAAGCAGGGGAUCUUUCGGGACCUUGCGCUAUUAGAUGAGCCUGCGUCGGAUUAGCUUGUUGGUGGGGUAAAGGCCUACCAAGGCAACGAUCCGUAGCUGGUCUGAGAGGAUGAUCAGCCACACCGGAACUGAGACACGGUCCGGACUCCUACGGGAGGCAGCAGUGGGGAAUAUUGGACAAUGGGGGCAACCCUGAUCCAGCCAUGCCGCGUGUGUGAAGAAGGCCUUCGGGUUGUAAAGCACUUUAAGCAGGGAGGAAAGGCGUACGGUUAAUACCCGUGCGAGUUGACGUUACCUGCAGAAUAAGCACCGGCUAACUUCGUGCCAGCAGCCGCGGUAAUACGAAGGGUGCAAGCGUUAAUCGGAAUUACUGGGCGUAAAGCGCGCGUAGGCGGUUUGGUUAGUUGGAUGUGAAAGCCCAGGGCUCAACCUUGGAACUGCAUCCAAUACUGCCAGGCUAGAGUACGAGAGAGGGGGGUAGAAUUCCACGUGUAGCGGUGAAAUGCGUAGAGAUGUGGAGGAAUACCAGUGGCGAAGGCGGCCCCCUGGAUCGAUACUGAC
Molecule: ribosomal RNA, 629 nt
Filed under: Pseudohongiella spirulinae
Lineage: Bacteria; Pseudomonadati; Pseudomonadota; Gammaproteobacteria; Pseudomonadales; Pseudohongiellaceae
Description: bacterial SSU rRNA
Rfam family: Bacterial small subunit ribosomal RNA
Source: RNAcentral